This is a non-coding RNA of Linepithema humile (Argentine ant), 1125 nucleotides long. The record is from RefSeq and is a predicted model, not a curated record. Lineage: Eukaryota; Metazoa; Arthropoda; Insecta; Hymenoptera; Formicidae.
AACUUAUGCUCGGUUCCACCAACGUUAGAUUAAUUUUAAUUUUGGUUCAACUUAUUCUUCAUCUUUUUCUAAUUCUUAGAAAAAGAUAAAGAGUAAGUUGAACCGAGAUUAAAAUUAAUCAACAUUGGUGAAAAUGGGCAUUAGUGAACUAUAUAACAUUAUGGUUGCGUUCCGAAAUUCAUUGCCAGUAUUAAAAAUCUACAAUAUACGUAACGAAAAUUAUAGAUUUCCAACAUUGGUAGUGAAUUUCGGAACGCAGCUUCUGGUGUGUGCCAAAAAGAGCCGUGGUGGUCAUUGUGGAAAAAAGAGAGAUACAUUAUAAUGUUUACGAUUUAAUGGAUUUUGAUCGACUCAAGCUUGAUUAAUUACUAUUUUACUAUGAAUUCAAGUCUUUUAUUGAUGCAGACGGUGGUGCAAUGACGUCAUUAAUCAAUCUUGGGUCGAUCAAACUUCGUUCAUUCGAAAACGCUAUUAGAUGGAGAAAUGUGUCUCAUGUCUGUUUUGGUUUUAAUAUCCUCCACCAUAUUGGUAGUAAAUGUGAAAGAAAGACAGAUAUCUCCGUCUACUGUUGCAAUCUUUUGAUCACAAAUUACACAUUAGUUCUUAUAGGAAAGACUCAUUUCAGUAUGUUAUGCAGCUCAAAGAAGCAAAGGACAGGAGUUUGGUCUCAUGUCUUUAGUCUUUUAGGUUUUUAUAUGUAGUCGUAUAUUUGAAAUAAUAUGCAACAAACACUAAUCUAAAGGAAUUUUAGGAAUUCCGUAAUAGAUAAAACAGAAGAUUGUUCAAAUUAUCGUUAUAAACCUGGUGCUUUCCAACUACUAUGGGAGGAUCCUCACACUAUUCUAAUGUGUUAUGAUUCUUAUAUUAAAAAAUGGAUAAAAGAACAUCCGAAUUUGUACGUACAUGGAAUUGUUCAUCCAAAAAUAAAAUAUUAACAUGUUUUACAACAGAUAAUUUAUACACUAUUAUGACGGGGACGAUUAAUGAUAAAGUUCUUCUAUGGGAUCAGAGACAAAAUGCUUACAUUCAAAGAUAUAAGAUUUGGCAUAAAGAACCCGGAAUACAUUCUAUACAAUUUGAUAGCGCCCAUCUGUAUAUUGCUACAGGCUAUAAUUUAUUUCAAUA